GAUGAAGAACGCAGCGAACUGCGAUAAGUAAUGUGAAUUGCAGAAUUCAGUGAAUCAUCGAAUCUUUGAACGCACAUUGCGCCCGCCAGUAUUCUGGCGGGCAUGCCUGUUCGAGCGUCAUUUCAACCAUCAAGCCCCCGGCUUGUGUUGGGGACCUGCGGCUGCCGCAGGCCCUGAAAAGCAGUGGCGGGCUCGCUGUCACACCGAGCGUAGUAGCAUACAUCUCGCUCUGGGCGUGCUGCGGGUUCCGGCCGUUAAACCACCUUCAUAACCCAAGGUUGACCUCGGAUCAGGUAGGAAGACCCGCUGAACUUAAGCAUAUCAAUAAGCGGAGGA
RNAcentral lists this unclassified non-coding RNA (336 nucleotides) under soil metagenome. RNAcentral describes it as "partial contains 5.8S ribosomal RNA, internal transcribed spacer 2, and large subunit ribosomal RNA". The stretch from base 1 to 120 matches the Rfam family "5.8S ribosomal RNA", at positions 35 to 154 of the family's 154-position model. The record is from RNAcentral.